UGGGGAAUAUUGGACAAUGGGCGCAAGCCUGAUCCAGCCAUGCCGCGUGAGUGAUGAAGGCCCUAGGGUUGUAAAGCUCUUUCAACGGUGAAGAUAAUGACGGUAGCCGUAGAAGAAGCCCCGGCUAACUUCGUGCCAGCAGCCGCGGUAAUACGAAGGGGGCUAGCGUUGUUCGGAAUUACUGGGCGUAAAGCGCACGUAGGCGGAUUGAUUAGUCAGAGGUGAAAUCCCGCAGCUUAACUGCGGAACUGCCUUUGAUACUGUCUGUCUAGAGGUCGAGAGAGGUGAGUGGAAUUCCGAGUGUAGAGGUGAAAUUCGUAGAUAUUCGGAGGAACACCAGUGGCGAAGGCGGCUCACUGGCUCGAUACUGACGCUGAGGUGCGAAAGCGUGGGGAGCAAACAGG
RNAcentral lists this ribosomal RNA (404 nucleotides) under uncultured bacterium. Its description in RNAcentral is "bacterial SSU rRNA". It matches the Rfam family "Bacterial small subunit ribosomal RNA", at positions 355 to 776 of the family's 1533-position model. The record is from RNAcentral.